UAAUACGAAGGGUGCAAGCGUUACUCGGAAUUACUGGGCGUAAAGCGUGCGUAGGUGGUUCGUUAAGUCUGAUGUGAAAGCCCUGGGCUCAACCUGGGAAUUGCAUUGGAUACUGGCGGGCUAGAGUGCGGUAGAGGAUGGCGGAAUUCCUGGUGUAGCAGUGAAAUGCGUAGAUAUCAGGAGGAACAUCCGUGGCGAAGGCGGCCAUCUGGACCAGCACUGACACUGAGGCACGAAAGCGUGGGGAGCAAACAGGAUUAGAUACCCUGGUAGUCCACGCCCUAAACGAUGCGAACUGGAUGUUGGGUUCAAUUAGGAACUCAGUAUCGAAGCUAACGCGUUAAGUUCGCCGCCUGGGGAGUACGGUCGCAAGACUG
Molecule: ribosomal RNA, 377 nt
Filed under: uncultured bacterium
Lineage: Bacteria
Description: bacterial SSU rRNA
Rfam family: Bacterial small subunit ribosomal RNA
Source: RNAcentral